UUACCACCAUCGUCUCUAUCGUCAUCACCACAACCAACACCACUAGCACCACCACAACCAUCUCCAUCGUCACCACUACAACCGUAAUCACCGUUUCUCCACCUGCCUUCUUUUGAUAAUCUUAAAGUUGAUUCUAAAAAUGUCGGAAAUUUCAUUUUUCAUUUUCAUUUUCAAUUUAAAUUUCAUUUCAGUUUUCAAACAUCAGCUGUUACUGCAUCAUGGUUCUGGUUUUACGAGAAGAACGAAUAGAGAUUCAACCAUUUCAGAUCGAAAGAAGACAAAUUUGAUUUGAUGAUUUUGACCUAGAUUUUUGCACUGGUGUCUAACAAUCUCAUUAGACGUACGUAGAGGUGGUGGCCAUGGUGGUGGAGGAGGAUUAAAUUGAAACCAAGUGAAGAUAUCAUAUUUAAUGCGGAAGGAUGUAUUACUGGGUUAGGUAAUCCAUCUCCAACACCCGUUGAGGCACCAGCUCCAACACCAUUGACUUAUCUUGAAGUGGUGGCGGAGGCGGCAGACGGUGGUGGCGACGGGUGGUGGCGGUGGCGGAUUGAUGGCGGCAUUGGUGGUGGUGUCGGACUGGUGAUGGUGGUGCAAUGAUGUUGGUGUUGGUGGCGGCGGAGACAACGGUAGACUGACGGUGGUGGCAUCAGUGGUGGUGGCGGACUGUUGGUGGUGGUGU
This is a long non-coding RNA of Papaver somniferum (opium poppy), 679 nucleotides long. RefSeq lists it as uncharacterized. Lineage: Eukaryota; Viridiplantae; Streptophyta; Magnoliopsida; Ranunculales; Papaveraceae. The record is from RefSeq and is a predicted model, not a curated record. The transcript has 3 exons.